This is an RNA transcript of Alnus glutinosa, 1723 nucleotides long. It is a transcript of the gene named small ribosomal subunit protein mS78 (rPPR3a)-like, with no coding region annotated. Lineage: Eukaryota; Viridiplantae; Streptophyta; Magnoliopsida; Fagales; Betulaceae. The record is from RefSeq and is a predicted model, not a curated record. The transcript is spliced from 3 exons.
CCAAACGUUGCAUAAAAAUUAAAAUACUAGUCCCAUUCAAGUUAGGAAGGUUAAAACCGCAAGUCCGAAAGCCCUUCUCCACGACCAUCAACCAUGUCUUCCCUCCACCGUCGUCUCCAUGGCAUAUUCACCAGUACUUCUGUCCGUGCAACAUCCCAGACCAACACCGUCAAAGCCUCGGCCCGAAACGCUCGCACCAAAGAAGGUAAACUCGAACAACUGGUCGAGAAGUUCAAGAAAUCCUCCGCGUCCCACCGCUUCCGCGCCUCGCACGGCAUCUACGAGUCCACUGUUCGCCGCCUUGCUUCUGCCCAGAAAUUCUCCAUGAUAGAAGAAAUCCUCGAAGCCCAGAAGAAGUACCCGGACAUCUCCACUGAGGGAUUUGCAAUCCGUCUGAUCUCCUUGUAUGGUAAAGCGGGCAUGUUUGACCAUGCACACAAGGUGUUCGAAGAAAUGCCUGAGCUGAAUUGUGCGCGUACAGCCAAGUCCUUCAACGCCCUUUUGGCAGCUUGUGUGAACGCCAAGAAAUUCGAUAAAGUUGAUGAGCUUUUCCGGGGACUACCGCAAAAAGUGUCAAUAGAAGUGGAUUUGGUCUCUUAUAAUAUUGUUAUCAAUGCAUUUUGUGAGAUGGGUUCGUUGGAUACUGCACUUUUGAUACUUGAUGAGUUGGAGAAGAAUGGGUUGGAGCCUGAUUCGGUAACAUUCAAUACGCUUCUCAAUGGGUUUUAUAACAAUGGUCGGUUUUUGGACGGAGAGAAGAUAUGGUCUAUGAUGGAGAGCAAGAAUGUUAUUCCUGAUAUUAGAAGUUAUAAUUCAAGGUUGCGCGGUAUGGUUCAUGACAAAAGAAUAUCAGAAGCAGUUAAUUUGUUUGAUGAAAUGCGGAGCAAAGGAAUUAACCCGGAUGUGAUUAGUUAUAAUGCUUUGAUUAAAGGGUUCUGUAAUGAUGGGAAGUCGGAGGAAGCGAAAUGGUGGUAUAGGGAGCUAAGAGAAAAUGAAUGUAGUCCUGAUUGGGUCACUUAUGUGACCCUUAUUCCACUUCUUUGCGAAGAGGGUGAUUUCGAUAUGGCUCUUGAGCUCUGUGCAGAGGUUAUCAAUCAACGGUUUACUAUUGACACAGGGUUAGUGCAGCGUGUGGUGGAUGGGUUAGUCAAGGAGGCAAAGAUUGAGAAAGCUAAGGAGCUUGUAGAACUGGGAAAGUCAAAAAAGUUUUUCCAUUACAAACUAAAAUUGCCUCUGGACAAGUAGUAUCACGCAGCAAGCUACCUUCAUCUGGUGACAUUCCCAUCAAACUUUUCUCCCACAAAAUCCAGUCAUACCCAUCGUAAUUCAAGGAUUAACAGGUGGUCGCUCGAGUUGAGAUACUCAGCGGUUAUUGGAGUGAAUUCUCAUAUUUUUGUUAGAAUUUAGAGGUUUCAGCAUUUAUGUCAUUAUAUUAGUUGUUUGAUCUGUUUGAGAAUAAGACUUGGAGCUGAUAGUUUCUAAGUAUAUUGGACACAAGAGUAAUAUUAGAUAUUAUAUUUUUAUCUCAUAACUAUCCCACAAUAUUUACAUGACAAUUCCGACCCACCCUUUAAUAUAUAUAUUUUUUAAGACUACUACGUUAGAAUUAUAGAAUAGUUGUAGUGAUAAAAAUGUUGUUUCUGGCAUUACAUUGUACCCAAAUUAUGCUAUUGGGGAAUAUAUCUUAGACACAAUUGGCAUUUUUUAUUUAUUGUGUUUGACA